CGUGUAGGCGGUUUGUUAAGUCAUGUGUGAAAUCCCUCGGCUCAACCGGGGAACGACGCAUGAAACUGGCAAGCUAGAGUACCAAAGAGGGGGGUGGAAUUCCCGGUGUAGCGGUGAAAUGCGUAGUUAUCGGGAGGAACACCUGUGGCGAAGGCGGCCCCCUGGUUGGAUACUGACGCUGAUACGCGAAAGCGUGGGGAGCAAACA
This 207-nucleotide ribosomal RNA is filed under the name uncultured bacterium. RNAcentral describes it as "partial 16S ribosomal RNA". It matches the Rfam family "Bacterial small subunit ribosomal RNA", at positions 568 to 774 of the family's 1533-position model. The record is from RNAcentral.